AUUGAACGCUGGCGGCAGGCCUAACACAUGCAAGUCGAGCGAGCGGCGGACGGGUGAGUAAUGUCUGGGAAACUGCCUGCUGGAGGGGGAUAACUACUGGAAACGGUAGCUCAUACCGCAUACCAUCAGAUGUGCCCAGAUGGGAUUAGCUAGUAGGUUGGGUAACGGCUCACCUAGGCGACGAUCCCUAGCUGGUCUGAGAGGAUGACAAGCCACACGGGAACUGAGACACGGUCCAGACUCCUACGGGAGGCAGCAUGGGGGAAGAUUGCACAAUGGGCGCAAGCCUGAUGCAGCCAUGCCGCGUGUGUGAAGAAGGCCUUCGGGUUGUAAAGAACUUUCAGCGGGGAGGCGUUACCCGCAGAAGAAGCACCGGCUAACUCCGUGACAGCAGCCGCGGUAAUAG
RNAcentral lists this ribosomal RNA (406 nucleotides) under uncultured bacterium. RNAcentral describes it as "partial 16S ribosomal RNA". It matches the Rfam family "Bacterial small subunit ribosomal RNA", at positions 30 to 526 of the family's 1533-position model. The record is from RNAcentral.